UUUUCAAAUGCACGUUACCAUUCUUGUAUUGGUGCGGGUUAAUAAUUUCAAGCUUUUUUCAUGUCAGAGAAAGCAGCCCUGAUCGACGGCGACUGGGACCCAACAAAAUGAUUCCUAUUCAAAAACGCAGCAGUCACAGCCUAUAGUAUCAGGCGACUUGCCGAGUUUUCUCUGUUGGCGGUUUCUAUCGGAGUGCCCAAAGCGCUCAACGGAGGUGCUGCAGAAGUGACAACCAAGGUUCCGCCUAAUAUGGUGACGCCACCUCAAGCUAUCAUGAAUCCAUCGAUGACAACUGCCCUUUCGGCGUAUGCACAAUUGGGCAUGCAGAGGGCCAGCUAGGACUCUGAGUGUGCUAUGGAGUUUAACGGAUGAGACGGAAAGUCCAAUUUACGAAUCCUUUACUUCGCCUUAGGGGACAGCCCACAAACACUGUUUGUAAACUGUGUAGUGGUUUUUAUGUCCUACAAUAACCUCCAACGGGAGUUGCUUGCUUCUUACCCGAGCACAGACCUCACGGGGAGGGUCAAUGCUGCACUACAAGCAAGGAGCCAGCGCAACAUUGGUAGCAUGUAGAUAUCUGCAGAACAGAUGUGCGGCCUAUUCCGCCGAGUUGAUCUAAACAAUGAGCGAGGACAGCAAGCUUCGCCAUCUUCCUUUUAUUACAAGCUACUGAAGAAAGUAUAUUUCUAAUCCUAUUGCAGGAAAAGCUACGAGGCGAGAAAUGCGAAUUCACAAGACAAUGCAAAGAUGGCCUGUGCUGCCUAAAAAAGGGCAGCUACGGACCAACGUGCCAACCAAUUGCACAAUUACGCGAAAAGUGCACCACGAGAGCUGUGGACGGAGUCUACAAAAUACGUUGCCCCUGUGCUGAUCACGCCCGCUGCCACGUCAGAAUUCACAUUUGUGUAUCAGCGAGAAAAGUACUGAACUCGACCAUUGGAGCGUCCAAGAGCUGAAAUAAAAAGUGGACAUUUUUCUCUUAAGA
Molecule: long non-coding RNA, 985 nt
Filed under: Dermacentor andersoni
Lineage: Eukaryota; Metazoa; Arthropoda; Arachnida; Ixodida; Ixodidae
Description: uncharacterized LOC126534137
Source: RNAcentral